CCUACGGGUGGCUGCAGUGGGGAAUAUUGGGCAAUGGAGGAAACUCUGACCCAGCAAUGCCGCGUGAAUGAAGAAUGUCUUCGGAUUGUAAAGUUCUUUAGUCAGGGAAGAAGUCAAUGACGGUACCUGAAUAAUAAGCUCCGGCUAACUACGUGCCAGCAGCCGCUGUAAUACGGAGGGAGCAAGCGUUGUUCGGAAUGACUGGGCGUAAAGGUUGCGUAGGCGGUUGUACAAAUUAGAAGGGAAAUACCCAGGGCUUAACUCGUGUGCUGCUUCUAAAACUGUAUGACUUGAGUGCAGUAGAGGUUAGUGGAAUUCCUAGUGUAGCGGUGGAAUGCGUAGAUAUUAGGAGGAACACCAGAGGCGAAGGCGGCUAACUGGACUGCAACUGACACUGAGGCACGAAAGUGUGGGGAGCAAACAGGAUUAGAUACCCCUGUAGUC
This 444-nucleotide ribosomal RNA is filed under the name uncultured bacterium. RNAcentral's name for it is "partial 16S ribosomal RNA". It matches the Rfam family "Bacterial small subunit ribosomal RNA", at positions 338 to 795 of the family's 1533-position model. The record is from RNAcentral.